GAGCUUGGCGGUGUUUUAGACCUCUCAGGGGAACCUGUCUCAUAAUCGACAAUCCACGUUAAACCUAACCUUUGAUGGCAAUUCAGCCUGUAUACCGUUGUCGUCAGGUAACUUCUUAAAAUAUAGUAGUUAGCUUGAAAAUUUUAUUAAUUAAAACGUCAAAUCAAGGUGCAGCUAAUGAAAAGGUGAGGAUGGGUUACAAUUACAUAUUUGUAAGUACGGAAAACAUUUGAAAGAAUGUAUUAAAGGAGGACUUGAAAGUAAUUUUGAUUAUAUAAACAAAAUGAAUGCGGCUCUGAAACGUGUACACAUCGCCCGUCGCUCUCGUUGAAAAAUGAGAUAAGUCGUAACAUAGUAGGGGUAAUGGAAAUUGUUCCUAGGC
RNAcentral lists this ribosomal RNA (382 nucleotides) under Conus borgesi. Its description in RNAcentral is "partial 12S ribosomal RNA". It matches the Rfam family "Microsporidia small subunit ribosomal RNA", at positions 780 to 1304 of the family's 1311-position model. The record is from RNAcentral. Lineage: Eukaryota; Metazoa; Mollusca; Gastropoda; Neogastropoda; Conidae.